UACGAGGGGGGCAAGCGUUGUUCGGAAUUAUUGGGCGUAAAGGGCGCGUAGGCGGCCUCCGCAAGUCAGUUGUGAAAUCUCCGAGCUUAACUCGGAAAGGUCAACUGAUACUGCGGGGCUAGAGUGCGGAAGGGGCAACUGGAAUUCUUGGUGUAGCGGUGAAAUGCGUAGAUAUCAAGAGGAACACCUGCGGCGAAGGCGGGUUGCUGGGCCGACACUGACGCUGAGGCGCGAAAGCUAGGGGAGCGAACGGG
RNAcentral lists this ribosomal RNA (254 nucleotides) under uncultured bacterium. RNAcentral's name for it is "partial 16S ribosomal RNA". It matches the Rfam family "Bacterial small subunit ribosomal RNA", at positions 524 to 776 of the family's 1533-position model. The record is from RNAcentral.